RNAcentral lists this ribosomal RNA (369 nucleotides) under Eukaryota sp. RNAcentral's name for it is "SSU rRNA". It matches the Rfam family "Eukaryotic small subunit ribosomal RNA", at positions 1325 to 1699 of the family's 1831-position model. The record is from RNAcentral.
UCGUUAACGAACGAGACCUCGACCUGCUAACUAGUGCACCGCAGCAUUCGUGCUGCUGUCGUUCGGCACUUCUUAGAGGGACUAUCGGUGUGUAGCCGAUGGAAGUUCGAGGCAAUAACAGGUCUGUGAUGCCCUUAGAUGUUCUGGGCCGCACGCGCGCUACACUGACGGGUUCAUCGAGCUUUCUUUAUUGUUACCUUGACUGACAGGUCUGGGGAAUCUUUGGAAUGCCCGUCGUGCUGGGGAUAGACCCUUGGAAUUAUGGAUCUUGAACGAGGAAUUCCUAGUAAACGCAAGUCAUCAGCUUGCAUUGAUUACGUCCCUGCCCUUUGUACACACCGCCCGUCGCUAAUACCGAUUGAAUGGAUC